AGAGUUUGAUCCUGGCUCAGGAUGAACGCUGGCGGCGUGCCUAAUACAUGCAAGUCGAACGCUUUGUGGUCCAACUGAUUUGAAGAGCUUGCUCAGAUAUGACGAUGGACAUUGCAAAGAGUGGCGAACGGGUGAGUAACACGUGGGAAACCUACCUCUUAGCAGGGGAUAACACUUGGAAACAAGUGCUAAUACCGUAUAACACUAAUAACCGCAUGGUUAUUAGUUAAAAGAUGGUCUUGCUAUCACUAAGAGAUGGUCCCGCGGUGUAUUAGCUAGUUGGUAAGGUAAUGGCUUACCAAGGCAAUGAUACAUAGCCGAGUUGAGAGACUGAUCGGCCACAAUGGGACUGAGACACGGCCCAUACUCCUACGGGAGGCAGCAGUAGGGAAUCUUCCACAAUGGACGAAAGUCUGAUGGAGCAACGCCGCGUGUGUGAUGAAGGGUUUCGGCUCGUAAAACACUGUUGUAAGAGAAGAAUGACACUGAGAGUAACUGUUCAGUGUGUGACGGUAUCUUACCAGAAAGGAACGGCUAAAUACGUGCCAGCAGCCGCGGUAAUACGUAUGUUCCAAGCGUUAUCCGGAUUUAUUGGGCGUAAAGCGAGCGCAGACGGUUAUUUAAGUCCGAAGUGAAAGCCCACAGCUUAACUGUGGAAGUGCUUUGGAAACUGGAUAACUUGAGUGCAGUAGAGGAGAGUGGAACUCCAUGUGUAGCGGUGAAAUGCGUACAUAUAUGGAAGAACCUCCAGUGGCCGAACGCGGCUCUCUGGACUGUAACUGACCGUUGAGGCUCCGAAAGUGU
RNAcentral lists this ribosomal RNA (804 nucleotides) under uncultured bacterium. Its description in RNAcentral is "bacterial SSU rRNA". It matches the Rfam family "Bacterial small subunit ribosomal RNA", at positions 8 to 762 of the family's 1533-position model. The record is from RNAcentral.